CUUGGUCAUUUAGAGGAAGUAAAAGUCGUAACAAGGUCUCCGUUGGUAACCAGCGGAGGGAUCAUUACCGAGUUCUUACAGAACCCUACCCUCGUGUGCUAAGCUACCACUCAGCUUUUACACAAGAGUCCCGGCUUCACCGCCGGGAUAUCAGUGUAAAAAGCAAAACCUCUGUAUUAUUAUUAUUUCUCUGAGACUUUUUACAAAGAGUCAAAACUUUCAACAACGGAUCUCUUGGUUCUGGCAUCGAUGAAGAACGCAGCGAAAUGCGAUACGUAAUGUGAAUUGCAGAAUUCAGUGAAUCAUCGAAUCUUUGAACGCACCUUGCGCCCGCCAGUAUUCUGACGGGCAUGCCUGUUCGAGCGUCAUUUCAACCAUCAAGCCCCCGGCUUGUGUUGGGGCCCUGCGGCUGCCGCAGACCCCUAAAUCCAGUGGCGGGCUCGUCGUCGUACCGAGUGCAGUAAACAUCCUCUCUCGGGGACCCCGACGGGUGCCGGCCGUGAAACACCCACUUCUGAAUGUUGACCUCGGAUCAGGUAGGAAUACCCGCUGAACUUAAGCAUAUCAAUAAGCGGAGGA
This 579-nucleotide ribosomal RNA is filed under the name uncultured Ascomycota. RNAcentral describes it as "eukaryotic LSU rRNA". The stretch from base 215 to 368 matches the Rfam family "5.8S ribosomal RNA". The record is from RNAcentral. Lineage: Eukaryota; Fungi; Ascomycota.